This 208-nucleotide ribosomal RNA is filed under the name uncultured bacterium. RNAcentral describes it as "partial 16S ribosomal RNA". It matches the Rfam family "Bacterial small subunit ribosomal RNA", at positions 524 to 730 of the family's 1533-position model. The record is from RNAcentral.
UACGUAGGGUGCAAGCGUUGUCCGGAAUUAUUGGGCGUAAAGGGCUCGUAGGCGGUUUGUCGCGUCGGGAGUGAAAACUCAGGGCUUAACCCUGAGCCUGCUUCCGAUACGGGCAGACUAGAGGUAUGCAGGGAGAAUGGAAUUUCCUGGUGUAGCGGUGAAAUGCGCAGAUAUCAGGAGGAACACCCGGUGGCGAAGGGCGCCACUC